Molecule: transfer RNA, 61 nt
Filed under: Narceus annularis
Lineage: Eukaryota; Metazoa; Arthropoda; Diplopoda; Spirobolida; Spirobolidae
Description: Narceus annularus tRNA-Ala
Source: RNAcentral
GGUGUAUAAUUAAUUCAUAAUAUUUGAUUUGCAAUCAACCAUAACCCAAGGGUUACGCCUG